Molecule: ribosomal RNA, 468 nt
Filed under: uncultured bacterium
Lineage: Bacteria
Description: partial 16S ribosomal RNA
Rfam family: Bacterial small subunit ribosomal RNA
Source: RNAcentral
GACGAACGCUGGCGGCGUGCUUAACACAUGCAAGUCGAACGGAAAGGCCCUGCUUUUGUGGGGUGCUCGAGUGGCGAACGGGUGAGUAACACGUGAGUAACCUGCCCUUGACUUUGGGAUAACUUCAGGAAACUGGGGCUAAUACCGGAUAGGAGCUCCUGCUGCAUGGUGGGGGUUGGAAAGUUUCGGCGGUUGGGGAUGGACUCGCGGCUUAUCAGCUUGUUGGUGGGGUAGUGGCUUACCAAGGCUUUGACGGGUAGCCGGCCUGAGAGGGUGACUGGCCACAUUGGGACUGAGAUACGGCCCAGACUCCUACGGGAGGCAGCAGUGGGGAAUAUUGCAGAAUGGGCGGAAGCCUGAUGCAGCAACGCCGCGUGCGGGAUGACGGCCUUCGGGUUGUAAACCGCUUUCGCCUGUGACGAAGCGUGAGUGACGGUAAUGGGUAAAGAAGCACCGGCUAACUACGUG